Molecule: ribosomal RNA, 429 nt
Filed under: Bacteroidota bacterium
Lineage: Bacteria; Pseudomonadati; Bacteroidota
Description: Bacteroidetes bacterium partial 16S ribosomal RNA
Rfam family: Bacterial small subunit ribosomal RNA
Source: RNAcentral
UAGGGAAUCUUCCGCAAUGGACGCAAGUCUGACGGAGCAACGCCGCGUGAGUGAAGAAGGAUCUCGGUUCGUAAAACUCUGUUGUUAGAGAAGAACAGCGCAUAGAGUAACUGUUAUGCGUGUGACGGUAUCUAACCAGAAAGCCACGGCUAACUACGUGCCAGCAGCCGCGGUAAUACGUAGGUGGCAAGCGUUGUCCGGAUUUAUUGGGCGUAAAGCGAGCGCAGGCGGUCAAUUAAGUCUGAUGUGAAAGCCCCCGGCUCAACCGGGGAGGGUCAUUGGAAACUGGUUGACUUGAGUGCAGAAGAGGAGAGUGGAAUUCCAUGUGUAGCGGUGAAAUGCGUAGAUAUAUGGAGGAACACCAGUGGCGAAGGCGACUAUCUGGUCUGUAACUGACGCUGAGGCUCGAAAGCGUGGGUAGCAAACAGG